UAUAAAUCAUGCUGCUAUAAAGACACAUGCACAAAUAUAAGAGGCCGCCCUGUAGAGGAGGAAGGAGGAAGUUGGCUGUGAUUGACCUUGCUAGGUCAUCUUCCUAAUCUUUGUCCUUUCCUGCACCCCAAAUGGAAGAUAAAAGGCAAUGCAAGAUCAGCAUCCUCAGAGACAUCGUUUUGUUUGGGUUUCAUGGAUUGCAAUUGCCAGAGAUGCUUAGGCUGCCUCUAGAGGGAAGAUGAUUGAUUGUUAACCUAUGUGGUCCAACCAAAUGUCUUAGGGGUUAUUGAUAAUUAAAAUGGACAAUAGCGAUUUUCCAUUUCUUCUGGCCUUGGGUGCUGGCAUGUGGAAGUGGUAUUGAUACUCAUGACCAAAUAGGCACUUAUCGAUUUCAGUUUUCAUAAGUUGCCUACCAAAUGCAAACUAGUAACCCAGACGUGGGAGACCUAAUAUUCCAUUGUUAAUCUUUAGGUCCAUAAUUUUUAUUUCCUCUACUUGCCUCUUCUUCCUUCCUCUGCAUAAUGAGUUGGGCUUAUAUAAUUGCACCCAUUUACUCACUCAUUCGUUCAAUCAAUUAUUUGUUCCUAUUUUAUGCCAAGUAAUGAACAGAAGGUGUUGGGGAUGCAAAACCCAACUAAUUGGAAUUUCUAUGUUACAGGAGCUUAUGCUUUAGUGAAAUUAUAGACAAAUUAUUAUACAGUUUUAAUCCAGAAUAGUAAGUGCUAUGGGAGCAUGCACAGAGGAAACAACCCAAUCUUAAGGAAUCAGGAAGGUUUGCAGAGGACUGACAGGAAAAGUGGGCAGGUGAAGAAGAUGGGCAGUGAGAGGAGGAGUGGAAGCACUUUUGCUAGGGAAAAACAUGAAUAAAAGGGAUAAUUUUCUGCUCUUACCCCUGGGUGAUCUUUGCGUGGUACUGUCCAUCACAGUUGGGAGAGACGGCUCCUCAGAGCUGCUCCACACUGUUCACAGAGGAUGCCAUUCCAAGGAAACUGGGGAAUAGGGAAAGUCUUUAGCUUAUUCCUCUUUGAGGUUUGUUUGAGAUGCAGUUUCUUCAAUAUUUUGAGUCUAUGAAAACAUGUUGUAUACUUAAAUAUAUACCACAAAAAAUAAAAAAAAUUGCGAUUUAAA
This 1128-nucleotide long non-coding RNA is filed under the name Homo sapiens (human). RNAcentral's name for it is "HSALNT0307462". Lineage: Eukaryota; Metazoa; Chordata; Mammalia; Primates; Hominidae. The record is from RNAcentral.